ACACUGCUGAGGAGUCCCACAAUAGGACGGAACGAUCUUCCAGUGC
RNAcentral lists this non-coding RNA (46 nucleotides) under Schistosoma mansoni. Lineage: Eukaryota; Metazoa; Platyhelminthes; Trematoda; Strigeidida; Schistosomatidae. The record is from RNAcentral.